GAUGAACGCUAGCUACAGGCUUAACACAUGCAAGUCGAGGGGAAACGACAUCGAAAGCUUGCUUUUGAUGGGCGUCGACCGGCGCACGGGUGAGUAACGCGUAUCCAACCUGCCCACCACUUGGGGAUAACCUUGCGAAAGCUGGAUUAACCCCCGAUGUUGUCAUAUGAUAGCAUUAGAGUGUGACGAAAGGCUAACGGUGACGGAUGGGGAUGCGUCUGAUUAGGUAGUAGGCGGGGUAACGGCCCACCUAGCCGACGAUCAGUAGGGGUUCUGAGAGGAAGGUCCCCCACAUUGGAACUGAGACACGGUCCAAACUCCUACGGGAGGCAGCAGUGAGGAAUAUUGGUCAAUGGGCGAGAGCCUGAACCAGCCAAGUAGCGUGCAGGACGACGGCCCUAUGGGUUGUAAACUGCUUUUAUAAGGGAUAAAGUGAGUCUCGUGAGACUUUUUGCAUGUACCUUAUGAAUAAGGACCGGCUAAUUCCGUG
This 490-nucleotide ribosomal RNA is filed under the name uncultured bacterium. RNAcentral's name for it is "bacterial SSU rRNA". It matches the Rfam family "Bacterial small subunit ribosomal RNA", at positions 28 to 507 of the family's 1533-position model. The record is from RNAcentral.